AGCGAACGCUGGCGGCAGGCUUAACACAUGCAAGUCGAACGGGCAUCUUCGGAUGUCAGUGGCAGACGGGUGAGUAACACGUGGGAACGUACCCUUCGGUUCGGAAUAACUCAGGGAAACUUGAGCUAAUACCGGAUACGCCCUUUUGGGGAAAGGUUUACUGCCGAAGGAUCGGCCCGCGUCUGAUUAGCUUGUUGGUGGGGUAACGGCCUACCAAGGCGACGAUCAGUAGCUGGUCUGAGAGGAUGAUCAGCCACACUGGGACUAAGACACGGCCCAGACUCCUACGGGAGGCAGCAGUGGGGAAUAUUGGACAAUGGGCGCAAGCCUGAUCCAGCCAUGCCGCGUGAGUGAUGAAGGCCUUAGGGUUGUAAAGCUCUUUUGUCCGGGACGAUAAUGACGGUACCGGAAGAAUAAGCCCCGGCUAACUUCGUG
Molecule: ribosomal RNA, 435 nt
Filed under: uncultured bacterium
Lineage: Bacteria
Description: partial 16S ribosomal RNA
Rfam family: Bacterial small subunit ribosomal RNA
Source: RNAcentral